RNAcentral lists this ribosomal RNA (463 nucleotides) under Ficimia publia (blotched hooknose snake). RNAcentral's name for it is "partial 12S ribosomal RNA". The record is from RNAcentral. Lineage: Eukaryota; Metazoa; Chordata; Lepidosauria; Squamata; Colubridae.
CCCAGCCAUAACACAACAAUGUAAACUACCAAUUGUUCGCCAAAUAACUACGAGUACAGACUUAAAAUUUAAAAGACUUGACGGUACCUCACAACAACCUAGAGGAGCCUGUCAAAUAACCGAUACCCCACGAUUAACCCUACCCCCCCUAGCCAAUCAGUCUAUAUACCGCCGUCGCCAGCCCACCUUAUGAAAGAAAUAAAGCGGGCUAAAUAGCCACCACACUAGAACGACAGGUCGAGGUGUAACUUAUGGGUGGGCCCCAGAUGGGCUACAUUUUCUUAUACAGAAAAUUACGAAUAAACUAUGAAAUAAGAAACUGAAGGUGGAUUUAGCAGUAUAUUAGAAUAAAACAUCUAAUCGAAACCAACGCAAUGAGGUGCGUACACACCGCCCGUCAUCCCUGUUACCCAAACCACAAUUUUCAUAAACACACAUAUAACUCAUAACAGGGGAAGUCGUA